RNAcentral lists this transfer RNA (71 nucleotides) under Mimivirus LCMiAC02. Its description in RNAcentral is "tRNA-Ile". It matches the Rfam family "tRNA". From Rfam's summary of the family: Transfer RNA (tRNA) molecules are approximately 80 nucleotides in length. Their secondary structure includes four short double-helical elements and three loops (D, anti-codon, and T loops). Further hydrogen bonds mediate the characteristic L-shaped molecular structure. tRNAs have two regions of fundamental functional importance: the anti-codon, which is responsible for specific mRNA codon recognition, and the 3' end, to which the tRNAs corresponding amino acid is attached (by aminoacyl-tRNA synthetases). tRNAs cope with the degeneracy of the genetic code in two manners: having more than one tRNA (with a specific anti-codon) for a particular amino acid; and 'wobble' base-pairing, i.e. permitting non-standard base-pairing at the 3rd anti-codon position. Lineage: Varidnaviria; Bamfordvirae; Nucleocytoviricota; Megaviricetes; Imitervirales; Mimiviridae. The record is from RNAcentral.
GUUCCCGUAUUUUAAUGGUAGAAUCUAAAUCUUAUAAGUUUAGGACGCGAGUUCGAUUCUCGCCGGGAAUA